AUGUUUGCAAUUCUGGUCCAAGUACUCCUUGUUUAAUCUUUCUUUUUUCCUUUUUUCGGCAUAUUCAAAUGCUUUUUUGAAUAUUCAUAUCUUUGAAGCCGUAAAUUCAAAUCUAACAUGUUAUAUAUGAAAAUCUCUCAAAAAAUGUGUACAUUUCAAAUAUGCUAUUACCUUGCAUGUUUGCAACUAAAUUAAAUUUUAACAUGAAUUAUAGUUGUAAACACAUAUACCAGCAAGAAAAAAUAAUGCAC
RNAcentral lists this long non-coding RNA (251 nucleotides) under Hordeum vulgare. Its description in RNAcentral is "long non-coding RNA (HVUL_LNC018481)". Lineage: Eukaryota; Viridiplantae; Streptophyta; Magnoliopsida; Poales; Poaceae. The record is from RNAcentral.